RNAcentral lists this non-coding RNA (24 nucleotides) under Arabidopsis thaliana (thale cress). The record is from RNAcentral. Lineage: Eukaryota; Viridiplantae; Streptophyta; Magnoliopsida; Brassicales; Brassicaceae.
GUUGCUCGUACUGAACCCGAAGAU